This 2924-nucleotide ribosomal RNA is filed under the name Staphylococcus aureus. Its description in RNAcentral is "23S ribosomal RNA". It matches the Rfam family "Bacterial large subunit ribosomal RNA". The record is from RNAcentral. Lineage: Bacteria; Bacillati; Bacillota; Bacilli; Caryophanales; Staphylococcaceae.
GAUUAAGUUAUUAAGGGCGCACGGUGGAUGCCUUGGCACUAGAAGCCGAUGAAGGACGUUACUAACGACGAUAUGCUUUGGGGAGCUGUAAGUAAGCUUUGAUCCAGAGAUUUCCGAAUGGGGAAACCCAGCAUGAGUUAUGUCAUGUUAUCGAUAUGUGAAUACAUAGCAUAUCAGAAGGCACACCCGGAGAACUGAAACAUCUUAGUACCCGGAGGAAGAGAAAGAAAAUUCGAUUCCCUUAGUAGCGGCGAGCGAAACGGGAAGAGCCCAAACCAACAAGCUUGCUUGUUGGGGUUGUAGGACACUCUAUACGGAGUUACAAAGGACGACAUUAGACGAAUCAUCUGGAAAGAUGAAUCAAAGAAGGUAAUAAUCCUGUAGUCGAAAAUGUUGUCUCUCUUGAGUGGAUCCUGAGUACGACGGAGCACGUGAAAUUCCGUCGGAAUCUGGGAGGACCAUCUCCUAAGGCUAAAUACUCUCUAGUGACCGAUAGUGAACCAGUACCGUGAGGGAAAGGUGAAAAGCACCCCGGAAGGGGAGUGAAAUAGAACCUGAAACCGUGUGCUUACAAGUAGUCAGAGCCCGUUAAUGGGUGAUGGCGUGCCUUUUGUAGAAUGAACCGGCGAGUUACGAUUUGAUGCAAGGUUAAGCAGUAAAUGUGGAGCCGUAGCGAAAGCGAGUCUGAAUAGGGCGUUUAGUAUUUGGUCGUAGACCCGAAACCAGGUGAUCUACCCUUGGUCAGGUUGAAGUUCAGGUAACACUGAAUGGAGGACCGAACCGACUUACGUUGAAAAGUGAGCGGAUGAACUGAGGGUAGCGGAGAAAUUCCAAUCGAACCUGGAGAUAGCUGGUUCUCUCCGAAAUAGCUUUAGGGCUAGCCUCAAGUGAUGAUUAUUGGAGGUAGAGCACUGUUUGGACGAGGGGCCCCUCUCGGGUUACCGAAUUCAGACAAACUCCGAAUGCCAAUUAAUUUAACUUGGGAGUCAGAACAUGGGUGAUAAGGUCCGUGUUCGAAAGGGAAACAGCCCAGACCACCAGCUAAGGUCCCAAAAUAUAUGUUAAGUGGAAAAGGAUGUGGCGUUGCCCAGACAACUAGGAUGUUGGCUUAGAAGCAGCCAUCAUUUAAAGAGUGCGUAAUAGCUCACUAGUCGAGUGACACUGCGCCGAAAAUGUACCGGGGCUAAACAUAUUACCGAAGCUGUGGAUUGUCCUUUGGACAAUGGUAGGAGAGCGUUCUAAGGGCGUUGAAGCAUGAUCGUAAGGACAUGUGGAGCGCUUAGAAGUGAGAAUGCCGGUGUGAGUAGCGAAAGACGGGUGAGAAUCCCGUCCACCGAUUGACUAAGGUUUCCAGAGGAAGGCUCGUCCGCUCUGGGUUAGUCGGGUCCUAAGCUGAGGCCGACAGGCGUAGGCGAUGGAUAACAGGUUGAUAUUCCUGUACCACCUAUAAUCGUUUUAAUCGAUGGGGGGGACGCAGUAGGAUAGGCGAAGCGUGCGAUUGGAUUGCACGUCUAAGCAGUAAGGCUGAGUAUUAGGCAAAUCCGGUACUCAUUAAGGCUGAGCUGUGAUGGGGAGAAGACAUUGUGUCUUCGAGUCGUUGAUUUCACACUGCCGAGAAAAGCCUCUAGAUAGAAAAUAGGUGCCCGUACCGCAAACCGACACAGGUAGUCAAGAUGAGAAUUCUAAGGUGAGCGAGCGAACUCUCGUUAAGGAACUCGGCAAAAUGACCCCGUAACUUCGGGAGAAGGGGUGCUCUUUAGGGUUAACGCCCAGAAGAGCCGCAGUGAAUAGGCCCAAGCGACUGUUUAUCAAAAACACAGGUCUCUGCUAAACCGUAAGGUGAUGUAUAGGGGCUGACGCCUGCCCGGUGCUGGAAGGUUAAGAGGAGUGGUUAGCUUCUGCGAAGCUACGAAUCGAAGCCCCAGUAAACGGCGGCCGUAACUAUAACGGUCCUAAGGUAGCGAAAUUCCUUGUCGGGUAAGUUCCGACCCGCACGAAAGGCGUAACGAUUUGGGCACUGUCUCAACGAGAGACUCGGUGAAAUCAUAGUACCUGUGAAGAUGCAGGUUACCCGCGACAGGACGGAAAGACCCCGUGGAGCUUUACUGUAGCCUGAUAUUGAAAUUCGGCACAGCUUGUACAGGAUAGGUAGGAGCCUUUGAAACGUGAGCGCUAGCUUACGUGGAGGCGCUGGUGGGAUACUACCCUAGCUGUGUUGGCUUUCUAACCCGCACCACUUAUCGUGGUGGGAGACAGUGUCAGGCGGGCAGUUUGACUGGGGCGGUCGCCUCCUAAAAGGUAACGGAGGCGCUCAAAGGUUCCCUCAGAAUGGUUGGAAAUCAUUCAUAGAGUGUAAAGGCAUAAGGGAGCUUGACUGCGAGACCUACAAGUCGAGCAGGGUCGAAAGACGGACUUAGUGAUCCGGUGGUUCCGCAUGGAAGGGCCAUCGCUCAACGGAUAAAAGCUACCCCGGGGAUAACAGGCUUAUCUCCCCCAAGAGUUCACAUCGACGGGGAGGUUUGGCACCUCGAUGUCGGCUCAUCGCAUCCUGGGGCUGUAGUCGGUCCCAAGGGUUGGGCUGUUCGCCCAUUAAAGCGGUACGCGAGCUGGGUUCAGAACGUCGUGAGACAGUUCGGUCCCUAUCCGUCGUGGGCGUAGGAAAUUUGAGAGGAGCUGUCCUUAGUACGAGAGGACCGGGAUGGACAUACCUCUGGUGUACCAGUUGUCGUGCCAACGGCAUAGCUGGGUAGCUAUGUGUGGACGGGAUAAGUGCUGAAAGCAUCUAAGCAUGAAGCCCCCCUCAAGAUGAGAUUUCCCAACUUCGGUUAUAAGAUCCCUCAAAGAUGAUGAGGUUAAUAGGUUCGAGGUGGAAGCAUGGUGACAUGUGGAGCUGACGAAUACUAAUCGAUCGAAGACUUAAUCAA